This 253-nucleotide ribosomal RNA is filed under the name uncultured Nitrosomonas sp. RNAcentral describes it as "partial 16S ribosomal RNA". It matches the Rfam family "Bacterial small subunit ribosomal RNA", at positions 524 to 776 of the family's 1533-position model. Lineage: Bacteria; Pseudomonadati; Pseudomonadota; Betaproteobacteria; Nitrosomonadales; Nitrosomonadaceae. The record is from RNAcentral.
UACGUAGGGUGCAAGCGUUAAUCGGAAUUAUUGGGCGUAAAGGGUGCGCAGGUGGUUAUAUAAGUCAGAUGUGAAAUCCCUGGGCUUAACCUAGGAAUUGCGUUUGAAACUAUAUAGCUAGAGUGUGGCAGAGGGGAGUGGAAUUCCAUGUGUAGCAGUGAAAUGCGUAGAGAUGUGGAAGAACACCGAUGGCGAAGGCAGCUCCCUGGGUUAACACUGACGCUCAUGCACGAAAGCGUGGGGAGCAAACAGG